RNAcentral lists this ribosomal RNA (358 nucleotides) under uncultured soil bacterium. Its description in RNAcentral is "bacterial SSU rRNA". It matches the Rfam family "Bacterial small subunit ribosomal RNA", at positions 26 to 380 of the family's 1533-position model. The record is from RNAcentral.
AGAUUGAACGCUGGCGGCAGGCCUAACACAUGCAAGUCGAGCGGUAGAGAGGUGCUUGCACCUCUUGAGAGCGGCGGACGGGUGAGUAAAGCCUAGGAAUCUGCCUGGUAGUGGGGGAUAACGCUCGGAAACGGACGCUAAUACCGCAUACGUCCUACGGGAGAAAGCAGGGGACCUUCGGGCCUUGCGCUAUCAGAUGAGCCUAGGUCGGAUUAGCUAGUUGGUGAGGUAAUGGCUCACCAAGGCGACGAUCCGUAACUGGUCUGAGAGGAUGAUCAGUCACACUGGAACUGGAGACGACGGUCCAAGCUACCGUACGGGAGCAGCAGGUGGAGAAUGUAGGACAAGUGGGACGAAA